Molecule: ribosomal RNA, 253 nt
Filed under: uncultured bacterium
Lineage: Bacteria
Description: partial 16S ribosomal RNA
Rfam family: Bacterial small subunit ribosomal RNA
Source: RNAcentral
UACGAAGGGGACUAGCGUUGCUCGGAAUCACUGGGCGUAAAGGGUGCGUAGGCGGGUCUUUAAGUCAGGGGUGAAAUCCUGGAGCUCAACUCCAGAACUGCCUUUGAUACUGAGGAUCUUGAGUUCGGGAGAGGUGAGUGGAACUGCGAGUGUAGAGGUGAAAUUCGUAGAUAUUCGCAAGAACACCAGUGGCGAAGGCGGCUCACUGGCCCGAUACUGACGCUGAGGCACGAAAGCGUGGGGAGCAAACAGG